This 2186-nucleotide long non-coding RNA is filed under the name Chinchilla lanigera (long-tailed chinchilla). RNAcentral's name for it is "lncRNA (ENSCLAG00000026324.1)". The record is from RNAcentral. Lineage: Eukaryota; Metazoa; Chordata; Mammalia; Rodentia; Chinchillidae.
CUUGCUAUGUAGCCCAGGAUGGCCUCAAACUUGUGAUAAUUCUUCUGCCUCAGCCUCCUAGGUGCUGGGAUUACAGGUGUGCACCACCACACGGAGCUGCUUUAUUUCCUUCUUUUAAAAAAGAUGUUUCUUUUCUUUCUUUCUCUCUUUCUUUCUUUGAGGCAGGAUCUUGCUAUGUAGCCCCGGCUGUCUUCAAACUCAUAGCAAUCCUUCUUCUUCAGUCUCCCGGGUGCUGGAAUUACAGGUGUGCACCACCAUGCCUGGCCCUGUUUUCCUUUUAGAGUCAUAUGCUUUUUGUGCUUCUGAUCACAAAGAGAUCAGUAGUGUAAUCGUAGUAUGGAUUAUUUGGAAAAUGAAGAAGAGAAAAAAAUCUAGUAUUUCACCACCCAGAGACAAAGACAUUGUUCAGUGGAAAUGCAAAAUUAGGCUUUGACCUUUUCAGAGCUGGGAAAGGACCCAGAAUCCUCUGGUCCAGCUCCAUGGCCCUGGGAGGGCACGAGUCCAGAUAGGCCCAAGGUCACCAGCCAGGCAGACAAUGUGGUCCUGGUGGGCCCACUGCUGCAUCCCAAAUUCUGCACACCAUCCAGCCUCUGGCUGCAGCACCUUUAUCUCCGGCCCUCAGCGCUGCGUCCUGUUCCCUUCCUGGGCUUCAGCCGGGAGGACAGUGGGAGGUUGGGUGAGAGCUGAUGAAGCUGCAGAUUCCUCUUGCCUGGGAACAAAGGGCUGUUCUGCAAGGCGCAGAGGAGCGCGGAGAGCAUUUGUCUUCUCUCCCUUAAACAAGCAAGAAAAUGUCCUCGAGGAGAGGGAAGGCUUUCCAAGGAUGAUGACCACCUGGACCAGCUGCCACAGGGAAAUGGUUCAGCUUUUCCACCUGGUGUGAGCCAAGGCCCCUCUUGCAUCUUCUCUGCUCUCCUGACCCCAAGCGGAAGCACCAGGCAAGCAUGUGCGGCACCAGGGAGAAGACCAGGGACACAGGAGGCCUUCAGACUUGGACAGGACGUCCUGUUCUCAAAGGCCCCAGCAAGGCCCCUGAGGCUGGUGAGAGGUGGAGAUGAGGACAGGAAUGUGAUGUAAGCAGCCAUGAAGCUGAGGCCCAUGCCAGGGCCUCCCUUUCGCAAGACACGCGUCACACCGCCCAGUCCGGGACUCUCCACAGCCGCUGGGAGUGUGGCCGGGCACGUCCUAACUCAUCCGCCUGAUUUUACGUGAGCUGGAGAGGGGUGGGCUGGGUAGACUGAGAAGUCAGGAGGGAAAUGCGCACAGUUCCCUGAGUGGGUAAAAGAUGUUGAAUAGUUCACAGAAGGAGAAAUUUAUAACAUAGUAAAAAAAAGAAAAAGCAAUCUCUGGACUUGUCACAAAAACUAGUGCAGGAAGCGGUAUCCCAGGCUUCUGUGCUUUGUCCAUUCAUUCACAAAGAUCCAGUGCUCUUUCUUGAGGAAAUUUUAGUAUUUAAUGCCGAAUGGAGGGGAGCUCACUUCUGCCACAACUGUGUGGGGUCCUAUUUUCCAAUCCCAUCACUUGCUGCCGGCAGGUGUCUAGAAAGGCCGAAUCUCAGUGGGACAAGCAGGUUGUAAACGCAGCCACUCUGUGAAUAGAUAACUUUUUCAGCUUUUUAAGGACCAGGGACGUCAUACAGCAUUUUACAGCCUUCACUGACAUAGCCUCUGGCACAGCACCAGAGAGAGCUUUCGGUCAAGUGCUGUAAACACGGUUGGCUCCGGGUCAUGUGUGAUGUGUUCACCUUGUGCCCUGGAAGAAAUGUGAGGAAAGCAAGUGGCAGAAAUGUUCUUACGGAGACUCAGCCUCAGUCAAAUGCUUACCCUUCCCCCUACGCUCUCAUCGCCUCUGACCACGGGGAGGUAAUUCUAUGCUUAAAAAAAGUCACGGCUUCGUUGGGAUCACAGGAUUCCCGCAACAGAAGCAUCAAGGCUUCAGCGUUUCACGGUUCACACAGCUCACGACUGAUGAAGUUGCGCAUCAGUCGCCAUUGCCUCCAGCACACCUAUUUUUGGGUACAGUUCUGUAUAUCUUGUUGAAAGAGCCUCAGUGUCUUCUUUUGUGCUGUACACCUUGUUUAUACAGUACUGUAAUUCUUGCUGGUCGUACUGUACACUACAGUGCUGUAGUUUUAUGUUCUGCUAUGCAUUACAGUGCUGCAGGUAAGAGUCACGCAAAUACAAGCAAAG